CGGGAACAGCGUCGCUGCAGCAGGUGAAGAGCUGAUCAGACAGAGAGGGAACUCUUCAUGUAUUUAUGUACUCAGAGUUUGGAGAAACAAACUACAUGUAUCUGAAUAUACACCGAUACAAUCUGCGUAUCUCUCUCCUCUCCGACAGAGAGUUUGACAAUCAUCCGUCUCCUGUCAAUUACAGUCUGAAUGUCUGCGCGGGAUUGCAGGACCACAGAUUAGGAGCCAUGAUCACAGAUGUCUUGGCCUUAAGACAAAGGACACAUGGAAAAUGUGCAAUAUUGUGGGGCUUCAGGAACAGGGUUGGGAAUCACUGCACUUGAACACUGACUGAAACAGGAAAAACUGAGGCGUGGAAAAAUCCAUUCUUAAUGUAAAUAUUUGUUUGUGUUUUCCCUCUCCGUCUUGACAACACACUAUUCCCACUGAUAUCAAUGGAUUUUCAGAGUUCUCUCACGCUUCAUGUGCUUGACUCACCAUGGCUUAGCUGAGAGCAUGUUUUCUGUUUCUUUCUCUCACACACAUACUGUAGGAAAGGAACAGGAAACAGGAGAUUCUUACAUUCUUGUUUAUUCCUGUAAAAUGACUGAAUGUGUUUGUAAUUAUUCAUUUUUUUAGUCUGUCGUGUAAAACAAAGCCUUUAAGCCUUUACUAAGCAGAAGUGACGUGGUUUCUCUCAGCAAUGUGUGGUGCUAAUACACAAAUGCUUACCUAUCACCGACCACCUUUACAUUUCUGAAAAUCAGUUCAAACAAAAGCAGAGAAACAGUUUGAUAUGUAUGAACCCAGCAAUCUGUCAGAAUUCAGAGUAGUUUUUAUUAUUACACUAAUUAGCCAUUAAUAUUAAUAUUAAGCACUACCACAUGCCCAUCAUUUGUUUAUUGUUUCCAUUUUCUUUGUCUUUGCGUGGUUGAUAUUGUAUGUUUGAUAAUUUGUCUCUGAAUUAAAUUAAAUUCAUCCAGUUUAAGUAAAUAUUUAAAUGUUCAGUAACAAUUUCCAGUAAGGUUCAGGUUGGUAAUACAAGGUAUCUUGAACCAACAAUAAGUUUUACCAAUUGCUCGGACAUGUUUGGAAACAUUACUAUUCUGAAUGUUUUUGAAAUAAGUUUCUUAUGCUCAUCAAGCCUGCAUUUAUUUGAUCAAAAAUACUGAAAAAAUGUAAUAUUGUGAUUAUAUU
Long non-coding RNA from Carassius gibelio (silver crucian carp), 1176 nucleotides. RefSeq lists it as uncharacterized. The record is from RefSeq and is a predicted model, not a curated record. The transcript has 3 exons. NCBI's taxonomy places the organism in Eukaryota, Metazoa, Chordata, Actinopteri, Cypriniformes, Cyprinidae.